AUGGCCAAGGCAGCAUACCACCACUUCUCCUCGCUUCUUGGCACUCCAAGACCCCGUGAUUUCUCCCUCGGCCUGCAACAGAUUGACCACCGCUCCUUUGAUCUCGAGGAGCUUGAGCUGCCUUUCUCUGAGGAGGAAAUCUGGACUGCGGUUAAGGCACUCCCCCGUGGAAUAGCCCCGGGCCCCGAUGGAUUCACGGCCGAAUUCCUUGUGGCGUGCUGGGCUACAAUCAAAGCCGACGUCUGCGAGGUGUUCGACAAGUUCUACGCCAUGAACGGGCAUAGCCUCCAGCACCUAAAUGAAACCCUAAUCACACUGAUCCCGAAGAAGCCGGACGCCUCCUCUCUCUCGGACUACCGCCCCAUCAGCCUCAUCCACCUGAUCGCGAAGAUCAUCGCCAAAGUCCUCUCACUAUGCCUCGCCCCUCACCCCUCGCCUGAGCCAGCUCGUCUCCUCCAACCAAAGUGCAUUCAUCGCUGGGCGGUGCGUGCACGACAAUUUUAUGCUGGUCCAGCAGACCGCCCGCCGGCUUCAUAA
This 537-nucleotide ribosomal RNA is filed under the name Triticum aestivum (bread wheat). Its description in RNAcentral is "partial small subunit ribosomal RNA". The record is from RNAcentral. Lineage: Eukaryota; Viridiplantae; Streptophyta; Magnoliopsida; Poales; Poaceae.